GUCAACAGAGGGAAGCUAAGCAGUGAUGUGGAGCAAAUCCCCAAAAGCAGUCUUAGUUCGGAUUGUAGGCUGCAACCCGCCUACAUGAAGUCGGAAUUGCUAGUAAUCGCGGAUCAGCAUGCCGCGGUGAAUACGUUCCCGGGCCUUGUACACACCGCCCGUCAAGCCAUGGGAGCCGGGGGUGCCUGAAGUUAGUGACCGCAAGGAGCGACCUAGGGCAAAACUGGUGACUGGGGCUAAGUCGUAACAAGGUAAC
RNAcentral lists this ribosomal RNA (256 nucleotides) under uncultured bacterium. Its description in RNAcentral is "partial 16S ribosomal RNA". It matches the Rfam family "Bacterial small subunit ribosomal RNA", at positions 1236 to 1500 of the family's 1533-position model. The record is from RNAcentral.